RNAcentral lists this long non-coding RNA (707 nucleotides) under Homo sapiens (human). RNAcentral's name for it is "non-protein coding lnc-THOC2-3:1". The record is from RNAcentral. Lineage: Eukaryota; Metazoa; Chordata; Mammalia; Primates; Hominidae.
AACCACAGAAAAAGGCUAUAUCCAGUCACUGCUAUGCCCUAAGACUUCAGACCCGUGUCUUCAAUCAUAGAUGUGGAUGUUCUCCCAGGAACUAAGCAUCCCCUAGGACUCUAUAUCCAGGAUGGUUCUAGCCUAAGGGAGACACCACAUGGCUUAGAGAGCAUCCCAGGGAUCUUUUAUAUCCUGGCUUGUUCCAGGCCUGGCUCACAGCACAGAACUAUGAACUGUUAAUGAUGAAGUUUUUAGAAGUUGAUGGUACAUAAGUUUCAGGGAAGCAUCUCAAUCAAGUAAACAGACAUGAUGAGUGCAAACAGCAGCCACCUCAUCCUAACAGUGAGACCAGCAACCAGGAGAAUAAUGUUACUGGGAACAGUCAGACUUCUGGUAGCUCCAGCCAAUCUGCUGAUAAUAGCCUUCUUGCCUAACCACAGCAGAUUGAACCAAACUUUGAGCCAAAGGAUGAAGACAGUGGGGAAGGUGACAAUAUUAUUUAAGAUAAUGGUGUGCCACAGAAGACUGCUAAAGCCAUUCCUACCAUCAAAAGCCUGGAAUCGUUAACAUAAACAGAACAAACUCAUUCUUGAGUCUCGAUAGAAUGAUUUUACUUCUUCUAAUUAAGUGAAUUUAGCAGUAGUACAAACAUAGAAUUUGAAACAUAUGCUCCAGAUCAAAAACUCUUAGAAGAUGGAACUAUCAUAACAUUAUGA